AGCCUGAGGAGGGGUCUGUUGGUAACUUUUCAAAAUAAUGGGAAAUUACAUGACUUAGAUAGGUCAUUGAUUCUGAGACCUAUGUUCUUAAAGAUUCUCUGAAAGGUUGAAUCUCUGGUUAUAAGCUCUCAGGACUUUUCCUUUUCUGGCCCAUAAGGUCUAAGGGUUUUCAAGGAAAACAUAUGGGCAUUUCCAUAGACUAAUCCUGUUGCAUAAACAUUAAAUUUAGGGUGGAAAAAGAACAGAAUAUUUUCAAUAGCUUUGAAUUCCUGGAACCUAUGUUAUUGAGCGAGUACUCAACUAUUGGGCUAUUGGAUCUCAGGGGAAAACAGUCUCUGUUAGCCAAAAACAUUAGCUUAAACAGAAGGCACCACAAGUUACAAAUUAGGACAGACUAUUUAGUAAAUAAUUAAAUUUAAGAUCACUAGCUUCUGUAACAACAAAUUAUAUUUUUAUAGCAGAAAGAAAUUUUGGAGUUGACAAGGAUAAACAGGACGACAUAGUAUCCCUUCAAACGGUCUCCCUCUCUCUUCCCCUAUUCAGGACACGUAUCACAACUGUAUUUUUGUGACAUAAACGCCAUGUCGUCCAGAGAAAAUGGACCACUAUUUAACUGUCCACGAUUUCGUUUAUGUGCCACAAGUCCAAUAUAAUCUGUCACUGCUUCUUGCUUUUAUGAACGUAGAAUGACAGAGAUAAUACACUCAAGCUCUUUCAGAAGUUUUUUGUAACCUUAUUCAUGAAUUUUUUUUUACAUUCCUCAAAUAUUACAAUUGGUAUAGAUAUUAUUCCACACAUGCGGAAUCAAACAUGAAAAGUUACUUCAAAAGAAACAGCUAAAUGCAAAAUAAAACAAAAAUAAAUUCCUGAUUGCUCACCAAAUUUCUAAGUCUUUUUGUACAACCAAUUCAGGCUACCAGAGAAGCAGCAUGCUUGUAGCUCUGAUUUUUCUGUGAAUAGCUUCUAGAAUUUUCCACAGCCACGCCUUGUGCACCAAAACAAAAAUACUGGUUCAUCAACUUCUUAUUCAAGGAUGGAUGUCCAUGCUUCAAAGAUGGAUUCAAACUCGAGGGUCCUGCAAUAUUGAUACGCUUUUCUUUAUCCAGUGAAACAGGUGAAGCCAUGGAUGAUAGUGAAACAGGACUUGAAGGUGAUUCAACUGAAGCAGCUAAAUCUGGCAUUGCUUGAAUAACACCAUGUGUUAGCCCUGCAGUAAAUUUCUUUCUGGUUAAUGGACUUGGAAGACUACUCCUGAAAGAAAACAUCCUUUCGUUGCUUGAAAGGCAUGCCAAUUUUGAGUAUCUCUGCCUAAGUGGAAUCGGACGGUCUUCCAAACUUCUUGAUAAACUAAAUGAGUCUAAAGAAUCAU
This 1369-nucleotide unclassified non-coding RNA is filed under the name Hevea brasiliensis (rubber tree). Lineage: Eukaryota; Viridiplantae; Streptophyta; Magnoliopsida; Malpighiales; Euphorbiaceae. The record is from RNAcentral.